Parasteatoda tepidariorum (common house spider) is the source of this 230-nucleotide non-coding RNA. NCBI's taxonomy places the organism in Eukaryota, Metazoa, Arthropoda, Arachnida, Araneae, Theridiidae. The record is from RefSeq and is a predicted model, not a curated record.
AUCAACUUAUGGAGACCCCAGGUGCAUAUAUGCCUUCUGAAAUACAAUAAGACGGAACUGGAUUUCCACAGAAAAGAUAGUAAUAUUGACUCACAGAAACAAACAGAAUCCAGAUGACAAAUGACCCUGAUUUAUUGAUCACGCUCGACGUAUAUGGAACAGAGUAACUGUGAACGCAUGAACUUAUAUACAAUUAAAUAGUAAACAGGAAAUUAUGCAAUAGUAGCUUG